GCGCAACCCUUAUCCUUUGUUGCCAGCGGUCCGGCCGGGAAGUCAAAGAGGACGUGCAAUGAUAAACUGGAGGAAGGUGGGGGUAACGUCCAGUCAUCGUUGCGCUUACGAGUAAGGCUCCACACGUGCUACAAUUGCGCAUACAAAGAGGAGCGACCUCGCGAGAGCAAGCGGACCUCAUAAAGUACUUCGUAGUCCGGAUUGGGGUCUGCAACUCAACUCCAUGAAGUCGGAAUCGCUAGUAAUCGUGGAUCAGAAUGCCACGGUGAAUACGUUCCCGGGCCUUGUACACACCGCCCGUCACACCAUGGGAGUGGGUUGCAAAAGAAGUAGGUAGCUUAACCUUCGGGAGGGCGCUUACCACUUUGUGAUUCAUGACUGGGGUGAAGUCGUAACAAGGUAACCGUAGGGGAACCUGCGGUUGGAUCACCUCCUUACCUUAAAGAA
This 447-nucleotide ribosomal RNA is filed under the name Enterobacter cloacae subsp. cloacae. RNAcentral describes it as "bacterial SSU rRNA". It matches the Rfam family "Bacterial small subunit ribosomal RNA", at positions 1096 to 1533 of the family's 1533-position model. Lineage: Bacteria; Pseudomonadati; Pseudomonadota; Gammaproteobacteria; Enterobacterales; Enterobacteriaceae. The record is from RNAcentral.